Amborella trichopoda is the source of this 1607-nucleotide non-coding RNA. Lineage: Eukaryota; Viridiplantae; Streptophyta; Magnoliopsida; Amborellales; Amborellaceae. The record is from RefSeq and is a predicted model, not a curated record.
UUGGGUGCAUAUUAUGAGCCACAGGUUUGAAGGCAACACAACACAGCAGGAAAGAGAGAGAUGGAAAGGCUCUCCUUUCUCUCUCCUCAGAUUCAAGCCUCUCUUUCUCUCUCUCAUCUCACAAGAGACCACUUCCCUCCUGCCUUUCUAUUUGGUGCGGCCACUUCUUCAUUGCAGGCUGGUGGAGGGUGCAGCACAAGAGGAUGGGAAAAAACCCAGUAUUGAAGAGACAUUUACAGAUGGAAUACCUGGUUGGGAUAAAAUUAAAGUGGCCGCUGAUCAAUAUCACAAGUAUAAGGAAGAUGUGAAGUUAUGCAUGAGAUGGGUUUUCCAUAGCCUGGCCUAGGCUCAUUCCUGAUGGACGUGGAGCUGUGAAUCCACUGGGGUUAAAAUACUACAACAGUCUCCUUGAUGAGCUCCACAGCCAUGGUAACCCUCUCUUUCUCUCUGUUGAUGAAAUCGUUAGCCAUGGCAACUGUCUCCCUACAAUAAGAUCCUCACUACCCCACACCCUGGUGUAGAGGGGCUCAGCCAAAAUCGGAGCCAGGGAUUGCCGCACAUGUAACCCUCUACCACUUCGAUUUGCCCCGGUCACUUCAAGACAAGUAUGGAGGAUGGAUAAACCCAAGAAUAAUUUAGGACUUCACCGCAUAUGCAGAAGCUUGUUUUCGAGAAUUCGGGGACCGGGUAGUGGCUUGGAGCACCUUCAAUGAGCCCAAUUUUUUCACAGGCGCUGGCUAUGAUGUGGGUCUUAUCGCACCAUAUCGUGGCUCGUUUCCUUUAUUUUCUAGUUGCUCAGAGGGAAACUCUUCAGCAGAUGGUUACCUUGCUGCUCAUAACGUGCUAUUAUCACAUGCAAAUGCUGUUGAGUUAUACAGAGAAAAAUACCAGAUCCAUGAUCAUUGAGGUGGAGAUGAUUGAUUUACUGUCAGUUCUUGGGAAUUUCAGUCCAUUGGAAGAAGAGUGGAACCAACCAGCUUUUCCCUUCAGCAAUGAGUGACAUGUUGGAAUACUUCAAGCAGUCUUACAAAGAUGUCAAGAUCUUUAUACAUGAAAAUGGGUCAUGGUGAUACCCCUCCUCCUCUUGAGAACGGAGACGAUGAUCCUAGGGUUCAGUAUUUGCAAUCGUACUUGGAAGCCUUGCUCACCUCUAUAAGGUGGAUCAAAUGUUGAAGGGUAUUUUGUAUGGUCUUUUGUGGACUGUUUUGAGUAUGCAUUUCUAAAGACAUUUGGUCUUUACUACGUGGAUUUUGAAGAGAGAGACAUCAAAAGGUACCCCACCCCAUCGUCUAUAUGGUACUCAAACUUCCUUCAUGGAAAGGAGGGAAGCAAAGUUAAGAGGACAGAGACGUGUGUACCAAACAGAGCUUUCAUCCUAUAUGAGGUGAUAGUCCAAAGCAAAGAACUCCAAUGCUCCACUUCACAGUGAUGAACAAGAUUUCAAAUAAAAGUUAACCUUUGUUAUGGCUUCAAACUUUGUUAGGCUUUUUUUAUAACGAUUUCAAACUUUGUUAGGCUUCUUCUGCAAUGGAGAUGCCAUGUUUUGUAUCAACUUUAGACUAUGAUUUAUGGGAUAGUUGUCUUGAGGAGGAUAUGGUGUUUAUGGG